CUGACCUCGGAUCAGGUAGGGAUACC
RNAcentral lists this ribosomal RNA (26 nucleotides) under Microascus verrucosus. RNAcentral's name for it is "partial 28S ribosomal RNA". The record is from RNAcentral. RNAcentral also lists the same sequence under 1 other name. Lineage: Eukaryota; Fungi; Ascomycota; Sordariomycetes; Microascales; Microascaceae.